This 670-nucleotide ribosomal RNA is filed under the name Staphylococcus aureus. Its description in RNAcentral is "partial 23S ribosomal RNA". It matches the Rfam family "Bacterial large subunit ribosomal RNA", at positions 1205 to 1875 of the family's 2925-position model. The record is from RNAcentral. Lineage: Bacteria; Bacillati; Bacillota; Bacilli; Caryophanales; Staphylococcaceae.
GAUUGUCCUUUGGACAAUGGUAGGAGAGCGUUCUAAGGGCGUUGAAGCAUGAUCGUAAGGACAUGUGGAGCGCUUAGAAGUGAGAAUGCCGGUGUGAGUAGCGAAAGACGGGUGAGAAUCCCGUCCACCGAUUGACUAAGGUUUCCAGAGGAAGGCUCGUCCGCUCUGGGUUAGUCGGGUCCUAAGCUGAGGCCGACAGGCGUAGGCGAUGGAUAACAGGUUGAUAUUCCUGUACCACCUAUAAUCGUUUUAAUCGAUGGGGGGACGCAGUAGGAUAGGCGAAGCGUGCGAUUGGAUUGCACGUCUAAGCAGUAAGGCUGAGUAUUAGGCAAAUCCGGUACUCGUUAAGGCUGAGCUGUGAUGGGGAGAAGACAUUGUGUCUUCGAGUCGUUGAUUUCACACUGCCGAGAAAAGCCUCUAGAUAGAAAAUAGGUGCCCGUACCGCAAACCGACACAGGUAGUCAAGAUGAGAAUUCUAAGGUGAGCGAGCGAACUCUCGUUAAGGAACUCGGCAAAAUGACCCCGUAACUUCGGGAGAAGGGGUGCUCUUUAGGGUUAACGCCCAGAAGAGCCGCAGUGAAUAGGCCCAAGCGACUGUUUAUCAAAAACACAGGUCUCUGCUAAACCGUAAGGUGAUGUAUAGGGGCUGACGCCUGCCCGGUGCUGGAAG